Molecule: ribosomal RNA, 2303 nt
Filed under: human gut metagenome
Description: bacterial LSU rRNA
Rfam family: Bacterial large subunit ribosomal RNA
Source: RNAcentral
UUAAGCGAAUAAGGGCGUACGGUGGAUGCCUAGGCACUUGAAACUGAAGAAGGACGCGACAAACGGCGAAACGCGACGGGGAGUGGUACGUACACGAAGAUCCGUUGAUAUCCGAAUGGGGAAACCCGUCAUACGUAAUAGUAUGGCAUCCAUGAGUGAAUAAAUAGCUCAUGAGAGAGGUACCCGGAGAACUGAAACAUCUAAGUACCCGGAGGAAAAGAAAACAAAAGUGAUUCCCAGAGUAGCGGCGAGCGAAAGGGGAGGAGCCCAAACCAACCUUAGGGUUGGGGUUGUAGGACCAUGAUAUGGCAAGAAUCUGGCUAAUAGAACGAUAUUGAAAGAUCGACCGCAGAGGGUGCAAGUCCCGUAUAUGAAAGCGAGAGGAAGCCUAAUGGUAUCCUGAGUACGGCGAGACACGAGAAAUCUUGUCGGAAGCAGGCGGGACCAUCCGUCAAGGCUAAAUAUAAACAAGUGACCGAUAGUGAACCAGUACCGUGAGGGAAAGGUGAAAAGAACCGCGGGAGCGGAGUGAAAUAGAACCUGAAACCGUAUGCUUACAAGAAGUCAGAGCUCGUUAAAGAGUGAUGGCGUGCCUUUUGUAGAAUGAACCGGCGAGUUAUGUUAUCGUGCGAGGUUAAGUAGAAGAUACGGAGCCGAAGCGAAAGCGAGUCUUAAUAGGGCGAAAGUACGAUGAUAUAGACCCGAAACCGUGUGAUCUAGCCAUGACCAGGUUGAAGUUCAGGUGAAACUGAAUGGAGGACCGAACCGACCCCCGUUGAAAAGUUGGCGGAUGAGUUGUGGCUAGGGGAGAAAUUCCAAUCGAACACGGAUAUAGCUGGUUCUCCCCGAAAUAGCUUUAGGGCUAGCGUCGAGGUAAAGUUACAUGGAGGUAGAGCACUGAAUGUACGAUGGCCCCAUCCCGGGGUACUGAGUAUAAUCAAACUCCGAAUGCCAUGAUAAUAUACUCGGCAGUCAGACUGUGGGUGAUAAGGUCCAUGGUCAAAAGGGAAACAGCCCAGACCGCCAGUUAAGGUCCCAAAAUGUAUGCUAAGUGGAAAAGGAUGUGGGGAUGCACAGACAACUAGGAGGUUGGCUCAGAAGCAGCCACCCUUCAAAGAGUGCGUAACAGCUCACUAGUCGAGUGACCCUGCGCCGAAAAUGUACCGGGGCUAAGCAUACUACCGAAGCUGCGGAUUUGUAGAGAUACAAGUGGUAGGGGAGCGUUGCAUGCACGUGGAAGCCAUAUCGUGAGGAGUGGUGGAGAGCAUGGAAGUGAGAAUGCCGGUGUGAGUAGCGAGAUGUAGGUGAGAAUCCUACACACCGAUAGCCCAAGGAUUCCAGGGGAAGGUUCGUCCGCCCUGGGUAAGUCGGGACCUAACGCGAGGCCGAAAGGCGUAGUGGAUGGAAAACAGGCAGAUAUUCCUGUACCCGCGAUGGGAAGUGAAGGAAUGACGGAGAAGGCUAGCAUGACCCACUGAAUGGAUUGUGGGCGAAGCGGAGCAGCAGGUAUGUAGUGAAAUGCGCAUACGAAAUGCAGGACGUGAUAGGUAAGUGAACGUUUCGACAAGUAACGAAGCAUGUGAGGCCAGCUUCCAAGAAAAGUUUCUAAGCGAUUAAUCCCAUAGCGGCCCGUACCAAAACCGACACAGGUGGGCAAGGAGAGGAUCCUGAGGUGAGCGAGAGAACUGUUGCCAAGGAACUCGGCAAAAUGACUCCGUAAGUUAGCGAUAAGGAGUGCUUAUGUAAAAGUAAGCCGCAGUGAAGAGGCCCAAGCGACUGUUUAACUAAAACACAGCUCUCUGCGAAGUCGCAAGACGAAGUAUAGGGGGUGACGCCUGCCCGGUGCUGGAAGGUUAAGAGGAUUUGUCAGUCGCAAGAUGAAGCAAUGAAUUGAAGCCCCAGUGAACGGCGGCCGUAACUAUAACGGUCCUAAGGUAGCGAAAUUCCUUGUCAGGUAAGUUCUGACCCGCACGAAAGGCGUAACGAUUUGGGCGCUGUCUCGGCAGCAGACUCGGUGAAAUCUUAGUACCUGUGAAAAUGCAGGUUACCCGCAACUAGACGGAAAGACCCCAUGGAGCUUUACUGUAGCUUGAUAUUGAGCUUUGAUCAGAGAUGUACAGGAUAGGUGGGAGACGAAGAGACGUGCACGCCAGUGUACGAGGAGUCGACGUUGGGAUACCACUCUUGUCUGAUUGAAGUUCUAACCUACACCCAUGAACUGGGUGAGGGACCGUGUCAGGCAGGCAGUUUGACUGGGGCGGUCGCCUCCUAAAGAGUAACGGAGGCGCCCAAAGGUACGCUCA